UGGGGAAUCUUGCACAAUGGGGGCAACCCUGAUGCAGCGACGCCGCGUGAGCGAUGAAGCCCUUCGGGGCGUAAAGCUCUUUCGACCGGAACGAUAAUGACGGUACCGGGAGAAGAACCUGCGGCUAACUACGUGCCAGCAGCCGCGGUAAUACGUAGGGUGCAAGCGUUAAUCGGCAUUACUGGGCGUAAAGCGUGCGCAGGCGGUUUUGUAAGACAGAGGUGAAAUCACCGGGCUCAACCUGGGAACUGCCUUUGUGACUGCAAAGCUGGAGUGCGUCAGAGGGGGAUGGAAUUCCGCGUGUAGCAGUGAAAUGCGUAGAUAUGCGGAGGAACACCGAUGGCGAAGGCAGUCCCAUGGGCCUGCACUGACGCUCAUGCACG
Molecule: ribosomal RNA, 383 nt
Filed under: uncultured bacterium
Lineage: Bacteria
Description: bacterial SSU rRNA
Rfam family: Bacterial small subunit ribosomal RNA
Source: RNAcentral